Molecule: ribosomal RNA, 480 nt
Filed under: uncultured bacterium
Lineage: Bacteria
Description: partial 16S ribosomal RNA
Rfam family: Bacterial small subunit ribosomal RNA
Source: RNAcentral
GACGAACGCUGGCGGCGCGCCUAACACAUGCAAGUCGAGCGAUGAAAUUUUAACCGCUCUCUUCGGAGAGAAGAUAAAAUGGAUUAGCGGCGGACGGGUGAGUAACACGUGAGAAACCUGCCUUUCACAAGGGGAUAGCCUCGGGAAACCGGGAUUAAUACCCUAUGACACAUUUCCUUCGCAUGGAAGAAAUGUUAAAACUCCGGUGGUGAAAGAUGGUCUCGCGCCUGAUUAGCUAGUUGGUGGGGUAACGGCCCACCAAGGCCAUGAUCAGUAACCGGCCUGAGAGGGUGAACGGUCACAUUGGAACUGAGACACGGUCCAAACUCCUACGGGAGGCAGCAGUGGGGAAUAUUGCACAAUGGAGGAAACUCUGAUGCAGCGACGCCGCGUGAGCGAUGAAGGCUUUCGAGUCGUAAAGCUCUGUCCUAUGGGAAGAUAAUGACGGUACCAUAGGAGGAAGGCCCGGCUAACUACGUG